RNAcentral lists this ribosomal RNA (484 nucleotides) under uncultured bacterium. RNAcentral's name for it is "partial 16S ribosomal RNA". The stretch from base 56 to 484 matches the Rfam family "Bacterial small subunit ribosomal RNA", at positions 39 to 507 of the family's 1533-position model. The record is from RNAcentral.
GGGGGGGGGGGGGGGGGGGGGGGGGGGAGGGGGGGCGGGGGGGGGGGGGGGGGGUGCGGCGGGAGGCAGCGGCGGACGGGGGGGGAAGGCCUAGGAGGCUGGCGGGGAGUGGGGGAUAACGUCCGGAAACGGGCGCUAAUACCGCAUACGUCCUGAGGGAGAAAGUGGGGGAGCUUCGGACCUCACGCUAUCAGAUGAGCCUAGGUCGGAUUAGCUAGUUGGUGGGGUAAAGGCCUACCAAGGCGACGAUCCGUAACUGGUCUGAGAGGAUGAUCAGUCACACUGGAACUGAGACACGGUCCAGACUCCUACGGGAGGCAGCAGUGGGGAAUAUUGGACAAUGGGCGAAAGCCUGAUCCAGCCAUGCCGCGUGUGUGAAGAAGGUCUUCGGAUUGUAAAGCACUUUAAGUUGGGAGGAAGGGCAGUAAGUUAAUACCUUGCUGUUUUGACGUUACCAACAGAAUAAGCACCGGCUAACUUCGUG